AUGUGCUGCAUAGUCUCUUCCAUCAGAUCGGUCGAUUGGUUACAUUGGCUAGAGCAUAUACUUCUACAAUUAUACUGCCUGAGUUUGCUUGAUUCACUUGCGUGCUGGCGUGCACUUGACAAGUUGAGCCACAAUGGGGCGAUCUUACUGCUGUUUGAGACGCCCUCUGGCUUCGCAUUCAGUGGGAGGAGAUGUUCCCGUUGACGACGAGGCGCCUACGGUGACAAAAUCUGGGCCAAGUUUGUCAAGGACUAUAUGCCGCACAAAGUCAUUUGGCUACAAGAAUUCAGGAGAUUCAAGAACAAGGCCAAUGUAUUUAAUCAUACUGGUGUCAACAAAGAACUUGCAGAGAUGAUCCAAAGAUGGCACGCCCCUGGUCAGCUGCUAGCUGUUGGAAAGCCUGAGCACAAAGAAAUCAUUGAAGCAAAAUUGAAAAUACGCUGCAUGUAUAAUGAAGCUGUGUUGGAGGUCAUGUGGGGCAUACAAAAUCUCAUGAAGAGUUUAGUGCCUCUUGAAGACGCUUAGCUGAACAAGGAAGACCGGCUUCCCAUGAGUUAUGGGAUGAAAACUGUCCUCAAUCGUCAUGGAUUCGAUGUCACGCCGGAAAUGGUGAGAAUACCUUUCGCUUAA
RNAcentral lists this ribosomal RNA (630 nucleotides) under Triticum aestivum (bread wheat). RNAcentral describes it as "partial small subunit ribosomal RNA". The record is from RNAcentral. Lineage: Eukaryota; Viridiplantae; Streptophyta; Magnoliopsida; Poales; Poaceae.